RNAcentral lists this long non-coding RNA (608 nucleotides) under Vitis vinifera (wine grape). RNAcentral describes it as "long non-coding RNA (VVIN_LNC002701)". Lineage: Eukaryota; Viridiplantae; Streptophyta; Magnoliopsida; Vitales; Vitaceae. The record is from RNAcentral.
CACUCACCAUCUCUGUCAUCCUAAACCUCCCAAUCAUUGCCCUAACAGUCAUGGUUGUGCUGCUCGGUCGCCUUAGAAAAUUAUACGACAACAACCUUCCCUACCCCACAUCUACACCAAAGUCAAGUUGAACCCUUCUCGGGUUUAUUCACCUUCUUCCCUACCCAACAUCACUCACCAUCUCUGUCAUCCUAAACCUCCCAAUUGUUGCCCUAACAGUCAUGGUUGUGCUGCUCGGUCGCCUUAGAAAAUUAUACGACAACAACCUUCCCCACCCCACAUCUGCACCAAAGUCAAGUUGAACCCUUCUCGGGUUUAUUCACCUUCUUCCCUACCCAACAUCAUUCACCAUCUCUGUCAUCCUAAACCUCCUAAUUGUUGCCCUAACAGUCAUGGUUGUGCUGCUCGGUCGCCUUAGAAAAUUAUACGACAACAACCUUCCCCACCCCGCAUCUACACCAAAGUCAAGUUGAACCCUUCUCGGGUUUAUUCACCUUCUUCCCUACCCAACAUCACUCACCAUCUCUGUCAUCCUAAACCUCCCAAUUGUUGCCCUAACAGUCAUGGUUGUGCUGCUCGGUCGCCUUAGAAAAUUAUACGACAACAAC